GACCUGAGCUCAGGCAAGAUUACC
This 24-nucleotide ribosomal RNA is filed under the name Chlorella vulgaris. Its description in RNAcentral is "partial 26S ribosomal RNA". Lineage: Eukaryota; Viridiplantae; Chlorophyta; Trebouxiophyceae; Chlorellales; Chlorellaceae. The record is from RNAcentral.